Molecule: long non-coding RNA, 338 nt
Filed under: Triticum aestivum (bread wheat)
Lineage: Eukaryota; Viridiplantae; Streptophyta; Magnoliopsida; Poales; Poaceae
Description: long non-coding RNA (TAES_LNC013300)
Source: RNAcentral
UUGAGCCCCCUUUUUCUGUUUUUUCUGUUUUUUUUCUUUUUUUCCUUUUUAGUUUUAGUUUUAGUUUAGAUUUAGUUUUAGUUGUAGUUUUAGGUUUAGUUUUAGUUUUAGGUUUAGUUUUAGGUUUAGUUUUAGGUUUAGUUUAGUUUGAGGAAAGAAGAAGAAGAAGAAAAAAGAGGAGAGGAGGAGAAGAAGAAGAGGAAAAAGGAAAGGAAGAAGAAGAGGAGGAGGAGGAGGAGGAGAAGAAAAAAGAAGAAGAGGAAGAAGAAGAAGAAAAAUGAGGAGAGGAGGAGAAGAAGAAGAGGAAAAAGGAAAGGAAGAAGAAGAAGAGGAGGAGG